RNAcentral lists this ribosomal RNA (253 nucleotides) under uncultured bacterium. RNAcentral describes it as "partial 16S ribosomal RNA". It matches the Rfam family "Bacterial small subunit ribosomal RNA", at positions 524 to 776 of the family's 1533-position model. The record is from RNAcentral.
UACAGAGGUCCCAAGCGUUGUUCGGAUUCAUUGGGCGUAAAGGGCGCGUAGGCGGCUUUGUAAGUUAGAGGUGAAAGCCCGGGGCUCAACUCCGGAACUGCCUUUAAGACUGCAUCGCUAGAAUUGUGGAGAGGUAAGUGGAAUUCCGAGUGUAGAGGUGAAAUUCGUAGAUAUUCGGAAGAACACCAGUGGCGAAGGCGACUUACUGGACACAUAUUGACGCUGAGGUGCGAAAGCGUGGGGAGCAAACAGG